RNAcentral lists this transfer RNA (76 nucleotides) under Escherichia coli. RNAcentral describes it as "tRNA-Lys". It matches the Rfam family "tRNA". From Rfam's summary of the family: Transfer RNA (tRNA) molecules are approximately 80 nucleotides in length. Their secondary structure includes four short double-helical elements and three loops (D, anti-codon, and T loops). Further hydrogen bonds mediate the characteristic L-shaped molecular structure. tRNAs have two regions of fundamental functional importance: the anti-codon, which is responsible for specific mRNA codon recognition, and the 3' end, to which the tRNAs corresponding amino acid is attached (by aminoacyl-tRNA synthetases). tRNAs cope with the degeneracy of the genetic code in two manners: having more than one tRNA (with a specific anti-codon) for a particular amino acid; and 'wobble' base-pairing, i.e. permitting non-standard base-pairing at the 3rd anti-codon position. The record is from RNAcentral. RNAcentral also lists the same sequence under 2 other names. Lineage: Bacteria; Pseudomonadati; Pseudomonadota; Gammaproteobacteria; Enterobacterales; Enterobacteriaceae.
GGGUCGUUAGCUCAGUUGGUAGAGCACUUGACUUUUAAUCAAUUGGUCGCAGGUUCGAAUCCUGCACGACCCACCA